UACAGAGGAGCCAAGCGUUGUCCGGAUUGACUGGGCGUAAAGCGCACGCAGGCGGAUGCGCGCGUGGGGUGUGAAAUCUGGCCGCUUAACGGCCAGGCGCCAUCCCAUACGGCGCGUCUGGAGUGAUGCAGAGGUCGAUGGAAUUGCCGGUGUAGUGGUGAAAUGCGUAGAGAUCGGCAGGAACACCCAGGGGGAAACCAGUCGACUGGGCAUCUACUGACGCUGAGGUGCGAAAGCGUGGGGAGCGAACCGG
RNAcentral lists this ribosomal RNA (253 nucleotides) under uncultured bacterium. RNAcentral's name for it is "partial 16S ribosomal RNA". It matches the Rfam family "Bacterial small subunit ribosomal RNA", at positions 524 to 776 of the family's 1533-position model. The record is from RNAcentral.